CAAUAGCGUAUAUUAAAGUUGUUGCGGUUAAAAAGCUCGUAGUUGGAGUUCUGCCAGGUGCCGCCUGUCCGCCCCAGUGGUGAGUACGUGGCGCGCAUUUGGCCCUUUCAAGGGGAGCGUAUCUGCACUUUAUUGUGUGGUGCGGGAUCCUUGACUUUUACUUUGAGGAAAUAGGAGUGUUCCAAGCAGGCUCUCGUCGUGCACAGCUCAGCAUGGAAUAAUAGCAUUGGACCUCGAUUCUAAGCUGUUGGUUGCCAGAAGCGAGGUAAUGAUGAAGAGGGAUAGUUGGGGGCAUUCGUAUUUAACUGUCAGAGGUGAAAUUCUUGGAUUUGUUAAAGACGGACCACUGCGAAAGCAUCUGCCAGGGAUGUUUUCAUUGA
This 380-nucleotide ribosomal RNA is filed under the name uncultured eukaryote. Its description in RNAcentral is "partial 18S ribosomal RNA". It matches the Rfam family "Eukaryotic small subunit ribosomal RNA", at positions 592 to 976 of the family's 1831-position model. The record is from RNAcentral.